CACGUAGGGGGCAAGCGUUGUCCGGAUUUAUUGGGCGUAAAGAGCUCGUAGGCGGCUUAGUAAGUCGGGUGUGAAACCUCCAGGCUCAACCUGGAGACGCCACCCGAUACUGCUGUGGCUAGAGUCCGGUAGGGGAGCGUGGAAUUCCUGGUGUAGCGGUGAAAUGCGCAGAUAUCAGGAGGAACACCAGUGGCGAAGGCGGCUCACUGGCCCGGUACUGACGCUGAGGUGCGAAAGCGUGGGGAGCAAACAGG
RNAcentral lists this ribosomal RNA (254 nucleotides) under uncultured bacterium. RNAcentral describes it as "partial 16S ribosomal RNA". It matches the Rfam family "Bacterial small subunit ribosomal RNA", at positions 524 to 776 of the family's 1533-position model. The record is from RNAcentral.